UACGAAGGGGGCUAGCGUUGUUCGGAAUUACUGGGCGUAAAGCGCACGCAGGCGGCGUAUUAAGUCAGGGGUGAAAGGCCUGGGCUCAACCCAGGAAAUGCCCUUGAGACUGAUACGCUGGAGUACGGAAGAGGGUAGUGGAAUUUCCAGUGUAGAGGUGAAAUUCGUAGAUAUUGGAAAGAACACCGGUGGCGAAGGCGGCUACCUGGUCCGUUACUGACGCUCAUGUGCGAAAGCGUGGGGAGCAAACAGGAUUAGAAACCCGUGUAGU
Molecule: ribosomal RNA, 271 nt
Filed under: uncultured bacterium
Lineage: Bacteria
Description: partial 16S ribosomal RNA
Rfam family: Bacterial small subunit ribosomal RNA
Source: RNAcentral